GGUCUAAUAGUGUAGAGGUUAUCACACGGGAUUCUGACUCAGUAAUUUCCCGUGACCCCGGUUGGAGUCCUGUCAGUGUUAGACCU
RNAcentral lists this transfer RNA (86 nucleotides) under Lentinula edodes (shiitake mushroom). RNAcentral describes it as "tRNA-Gln". The record is from RNAcentral. Lineage: Eukaryota; Fungi; Basidiomycota; Agaricomycetes; Agaricales; Omphalotaceae.